This is a long non-coding RNA of Mustela erminea (ermine), 784 nucleotides long. RefSeq lists it as uncharacterized. The record is from RefSeq and is a predicted model, not a curated record. NCBI's taxonomy places the organism in Eukaryota, Metazoa, Chordata, Mammalia, Carnivora, Mustelidae. The transcript has 4 exons.
UGGUGGGAGGCGGUGGCUCAGCUUGCAUGUGCUCGCUUCCCCGAGCUCUUCUUUCAGCUCCUCCAGCUCCGGGCCUAGUGUUGUGCUUAACUCCAUGCCAAAGCCUUCCUCGUCUUACUGGCAUCUGCGGGACACUCAUCCCAUCAAGAAUACACCACAAGGACCAUUUGACUGUCCCCUCUGGCUUCUGCAUCUUGCUUCCAGCAUGAACAGACAGAUGAACCAUCAUGUGGUCUUCUGGAAGCUGUUUGAAAGCAAGAGCAGUUGCCCUGGAGAGAGAGAAUGGUGUCCGAAAACAGGGGAGAGAUAAUGGUGUCUGAAACAGGCCCGGAAGAGUGAAAUGGGGGAGUUGUGAUAGACACAGCCUGAAGACUUUUAAGUGUUAAGGGGGAAUAUUGUCUCCACAUCAAAGAAACUGCCUCCAACAAGUUCAAGACCUGUUCAGGCCCAGUUGGAACUGUCUGUGCUCUGAGAGGUGACUUUCGCUCACCAUUGCCUCCUGACCACCUAACAUAUGGUCUGCUAAGUUGUUGAAACUUAAGUAGUUGCUGAACAGCUGACGCAGUGACAAGCUGGAGCUUAAACCCAGGACCUUUUAUCUCAAGGUGCAGUGUCGCUUGCCUUCCUGACCGAGGAAAAAACAAGUUAAAAGCCCAGCUUUGCUGUGGACCUGACCAUUGAAACUUCGCUCCAAAGCAGUUAGGGGUCCUAAUGGCUACCCUGGGCUUGGAGAGCUGGGUAUUGAGUAAGGUUGAAUAGGCCGGUAGGUGAGAUUCAGGGACUA